UGCGGUUAUACAAAUAAUAUAAUUUAAUUUUUUUAAUAUUAAUUAGUUGAAUAAAAUUUAAUUUUAAUAAAUAGUUUAUAGGGUGAAAUUUUAAAUUAUUAUUAAAAUUAGUAUAUUUAAAUGAAUUAUGAAAAUUAAAAUUAAAACUAGGAUUAGAUACCCUAUUAUUUUAAAUGUAUUUUUUAUUUAUUAGAUUAGUAGUAGUUAUGUUCUUGAAAAUUAAAAAUUUUGGCGGUAUUUUAUUCUUAUCAGAGGAACCUGUUGCGUAAAUGAUAUUCCACGAUUAAAUUUACUUUUAUUAUUAGUUUACAUAUCGUCGUAGUUAAAUAUUUUUUUAGAAUAAAAAUAUUUAUAAUUUUUAAUUAAAAAAUAAAUCAGAUCAAGGUGUAGUUUAUAUAAAAGUAUUAAUGGGUUACAAAAAAAAUAUUUAAGGAUAAUUAUUUUUAAUAGUAAUUUGAAUAUGGAUUUGUUAGUAAAAUUUUUUAUUUUAAAAUAUUGAUUUUAGAUAUAAAGUAUGU
This 518-nucleotide ribosomal RNA is filed under the name Gallerucida bifasciata. Its description in RNAcentral is "partial 12S ribosomal RNA". The record is from RNAcentral. Lineage: Eukaryota; Metazoa; Arthropoda; Insecta; Coleoptera; Chrysomelidae.